UUGGAGGGCAAGUCUGGUGCCAGCAGCCGCGGUAAUUCCAGCUCCAAUAGCGUAUAUUAAAGUUGUUGCAGUUAAAAAGCUCGUAGUUGAAUUUCGGGGUUAGUAGGUUGGUCAUGCCUCUGGUAUGUACUGAUCUCACUGAUUCCUCCUUCCUUAUGAACCGUAAUGCCAUUAAUUUGGUGUUGCGGGGAAUUUGGACUGUUACUUUGAAAAAAUUAGAGUGUUUAAAGCAGGCUAACGCUUGAAUACAUUAGCAUGGAAUAAUGAAAUAGGACGUUCGAUCUUAUUUUGUUGGUUUCUAGGAUUGACGUAAUGAUUAAUAGGGAUAGUUGGGGGCAUUAGUAUUCAAUUGUCAGAGGUGAAAUUCUUGGAUUUAUUGAAGACUAACUACUGCGAAAGCAUUUGCCAAGGAUGUUUUCAUUAAUCAAGAACGAAAGUUAGGGGAUCGAAGACGAUCAGAUACCGUCGUAGUCUUAACCAUAAACUAUGCCGACUAGGGAUCGGAUGAUGUUAAUUUUUUAAUGACUCAUUCGGCGCCUUACGGGAAAC
RNAcentral lists this ribosomal RNA (549 nucleotides) under Rhizophagus intraradices. RNAcentral describes it as "SSU rRNA". It matches the Rfam family "Eukaryotic small subunit ribosomal RNA", at positions 548 to 1098 of the family's 1831-position model. RNAcentral also lists the same sequence under 2 other names. Lineage: Eukaryota; Fungi; Glomeromycota; Glomeromycetes; Glomerales; Glomeraceae. The record is from RNAcentral.